GCUUAAAAUCCAAAGGACUUGACGGUGCCCCAUCCCCCUAGAGGAGCCUGUUCUGUAAUCGAUGACCCCCGCUACACCUCACCAUUUUUUGCCUCCAUGCAGCCUGUAUACCUCCGUCGUAAGCUUGCCAUAUGAAUGACUCAUAGCGGGCACAAUGAGAUUUUCGUCAACACGUCAGGUCAAGGUGCAGCUUAUAAAAUGGCACGUAAUGGGCUACAAUUUCUAACUUAGAACAAACGAAUAACCGUCUGAAAACACGGUCAUGAAGGUGGAUUUAGUAGUAAAGAGGAAAAAUAGUGCCCUCUUUAAUAAGUGGCCAUGGGACGCGUACAAACCGCCCGUCACCCUCUUCAAUAGCAUAACUUUAGUUUAUAACACACUCUAGCACUUUAGAGGAGGCAAGUCGUAACACGGUAAGUGUACUGGAAAGUGCACUUGGAUAUGCAAAAUGUAGCUUAGUAAAGCCCUCCGCUUACACCGGAGAGACAUCUGUUGAAACCAGAUCAUUUUGAGCUGUAAAUCUA
This 524-nucleotide ribosomal RNA is filed under the name Boophis piperatus. RNAcentral describes it as "partial 12S ribosomal RNA". The stretch from base 1 to 451 matches the Rfam family "Bacterial small subunit ribosomal RNA", at positions 892 to 1533 of the family's 1533-position model. The record is from RNAcentral. Lineage: Eukaryota; Metazoa; Chordata; Amphibia; Anura; Mantellidae.